This 511-nucleotide ribosomal RNA is filed under the name Escherichia coli. RNAcentral describes it as "partial 23S ribosomal RNA". It matches the Rfam family "Bacterial large subunit ribosomal RNA", at positions 760 to 1268 of the family's 2925-position model. The record is from RNAcentral. Lineage: Bacteria; Pseudomonadati; Pseudomonadota; Gammaproteobacteria; Enterobacterales; Enterobacteriaceae.
CACUAACUGGAGGACCGAACCGACUAAUGUUGAAAAAUUAGCGGAUGACUUGUGGCUGGGGGUGAAAGGCCAAUCAAACCGGGAGAUAGCUGGUUCUCCCCGAAAGCUAUUUAGGUAGCGCCUCGUGAAUUCAUCUCCGGGGGUAGAGCACUGUUUCGGCAAGGGGGUCAUCCCGACUUACCAACCCGAUGCAAACUGCGAAUACCGGAGAAUGUUAUCACGGGAGACACACGGCGGGUGCUAACGUCCGUCGUGAAGAGGGAAACAACCCAGACCGCCAGCUAAGGUCCCAAAGUCAUGGUUAAGUGGGAAACGAUGUGGGAAGGCCCAGACAGCCAGGAUGUUGGCUUAGAAGCAGCCAUCAUUUAAAGAAAGCGUAAUAGCUCACUGGUCGAGUCGGCCUGCGCGGAAGAUGUAACGGGGCUAAACCAUGCACCGAAGCUGCGGCAGCGACACUGUGUGUUGUUGGGUAGGGGAGCGUUCUGUAAGCCUGUGAAGGUGUGCUGUGAGG